This 569-nucleotide ribosomal RNA is filed under the name uncultured bacterium. RNAcentral's name for it is "partial 16S ribosomal RNA". It matches the Rfam family "Bacterial small subunit ribosomal RNA", at positions 356 to 1376 of the family's 1533-position model. The record is from RNAcentral.
UGGGAAUAUUGGACAAUGGGCGCAAGCCUGAUCCAGCCAUGCCGCGUGAGUGAUGACGGCCUUAGGGUUGUAAAGCUCUUUUGUCCGGGACGAUAAUGACGGUACCGGAAGAAUAAGCCCCGGCUAACUUCGUGCCAGCAGCCGCGGUAAUACGAAGGGGGCUAGCGUUGCUCGGAAUCACUGGGCGUAAAGGGCGCGUAGGCGGCUUGCCAAGUCGGGGGUGAAAGCCCGUGGCUCAACCACGGAAUGGCCUUCGAUACUGGCAGGCUUGAGACCGGAAGAGGACAGCGGAACUGCGAGUGUAGAGGUGAAAUUCGUAGAUAUUCGCAAGAACACCAGUGGCGAAGGCGGCUGUCUGGUCCGGUUCUGACGCUGAGGCGCGAAAAGCGUGGGGAGCAAAACAGGAUUAGAUACCCUGGUAGUCCACGCUGUAAAACGAUGAAAUGCUAGCCGUUGGGGUGCAUGCACCUCAGUGGCGCCGCUAACGCAUUAAGCAUUCCGCCUGGGGAGUACGGUCGCAAAGAUUAAAAACUCAAAAGGAAAUUGAACGGGGUCAUAGCUGUUUCCUG